UGCAAGUCGAGCGCCCCGCAAGGGGAGCGGCGGACGGGUUAGUAACGCGUGGGAACGUGCCCUCUUCUACGGAAUAGCCUCGGGAAACUGAGAUUAAUACCGUAUACGUCCCGUAAGGGAGAAAGAUUUAUCGGAGGAGGAUCGGCCCGCGUUGGAUUAGGUAGUUGGUGAGGUAACGGCUCACCAAGCCGACGAUCCAUAGCUGGUUUGAGAGGAUGAUCAGCAACACUGGGACUGAGACACGGCCCAGACUCCUACGGGAGGCAGCAGUGGGGAAUCUUGGACAAUGGGGGCAACCCUGAUCCAGCCAUGCCGCGUGGACGAUGAAGGCCUUAGGGUUGUAAAGUCCUUUCGCCAGGGAAGAUAAUGACGGUACCUGGUAAAGAAGCCCCGGCUAACUCCGUGCCAGCAGCCGCGGUAAUACGGAGGGGGCUAGCGUUGUUCGGAAUUACUGGGCGUAAAGCGCACGUAGGCGGAUCAGUCAGUCAGGGGUGAAAUCCCGGGGCUCAACCCCGGAACUGCCUUUGAUACUGCUGAUCUGGAGGAUGAGAGAGGCGAGUGGAAUUCCGAGUGUAGAGGUGAAAUUCGUAGAUAUUCGGAGGAACACCAGUGGCGAAGGCGGCUCGCUGGCUCAUUUCUGACGCUGAGGUGCGAAAGCGUGGGGAAGCAACCAGGAUUAGGAUACCCUGGUAGUCCACGCCGUAAACUUAUGAGAGCUAGUCGUCGGGCGGCAUGCCGUUCGGUGACCGCAGCUACGCAUUAAGCUCUCCGCCUGGGGAGUACGCCGCAAGUAACUCAAGAU
This 802-nucleotide ribosomal RNA is filed under the name uncultured Amaricoccus sp. Its description in RNAcentral is "bacterial SSU rRNA". It matches the Rfam family "Bacterial small subunit ribosomal RNA", at positions 56 to 907 of the family's 1533-position model. The record is from RNAcentral. Lineage: Bacteria; Pseudomonadati; Pseudomonadota; Alphaproteobacteria; Rhodobacterales; Paracoccaceae.